This 61-nucleotide transfer RNA is filed under the name Tropostreptus microcephalus. RNAcentral's name for it is "tRNA-Leu". Lineage: Eukaryota; Metazoa; Arthropoda; Diplopoda; Spirostreptida; Spirostreptidae. The record is from RNAcentral.
AUUAUAAUGGCAGAUUAGUGCAUAGAAUUUAAGCUUCUAUUAUGGGGUUUCUCUUAUAAUA